UUCUCAAUAAGCAACUUGGCUUAAUGCCAUGCUUCACUAUCCUCUUUUUAAUAUAACAUAGAUAUAGAUUCAGAUAUUUAACUAUGUUUAGGCAUGAAUAUUAUCACUUUAGUUUUACUUUCUCAUGUUUCAUUUUUUAAAGGUAAAAAAAGAAUAAAAUAGAGAAAAAGUAAGCUGCAAAAAGACAAAUUUAGAAUGCCAGCUUCAAAUUUACUUUACAAUUAGGUGAUAAUUAGGUAAAAGACUCAAUUUACUCAGAGCCCAACUUCUUAAUGCACGUUCUCUGAAGUUAAUUUAGGGCUCAAAUUCCCUCUCUUCCACUCACGAGUUCUUUCAGGAGAUGGAGGAAGUUAUAUAUUGACACCCUCUCUUCAUCAUCUUCUCUACAAAGGGAAAAAUUAAUGGUUCCUUCUCCGUCUAAUCUGACAGCGUGGGAUCAUUAGCCAACCAGCUUAUUGCACAAGGCAAAAGGUACAAAACAGAUAAUAACAAAGAAGAUUCGUUUUACUAUAGUUGUUAAUUCGUUUUAUUUGUUGUUUUCAUUUGUUUUACUCGUAUAGUGAUCUUCUGUACCUUCCGACCUACUCAUCUCCAACGUUGAUCGAAAGGUUUUUCUCAUAUUUGUGUUCAAUCUAGUUUACUUCUUUCUUGUAACGGGUUGUGUAUUGCUAAUUUUUUUUAUCAAUUUCUAAUAAAAUACUCUUUUUUUCAUUGUUUCAGCAAAGUGUCAUGGAGAGUGCGCCUACUUCGCUCGUGGAUGUAGAGUAUCCUUAGAUGGAUGCAGUACCAAUCACCAAACAAAUACUUAGAAUUUUUAUUAUAUUUAUUUUUUGUGGAACCGCACUAAAUUAUGCAAUGUUUGGAUUAUUGUAUUACUACUUUAGUUUGAUAUGAUUUUGGAUUUUCAAUGUUUGUUCAUAAACGUCUCAUUAGAAUUUGAUUAACGUCAUGUAAGCAUAUAAAUUAUUUAUUAAAUUUUAGUAUUUAAA
RNAcentral lists this long non-coding RNA (989 nucleotides) under Nicotiana tabacum (common tobacco). Its description in RNAcentral is "long non-coding RNA (NTAB_LNC004125)". The record is from RNAcentral. Lineage: Eukaryota; Viridiplantae; Streptophyta; Magnoliopsida; Solanales; Solanaceae.